Bombus terrestris (buff-tailed bumblebee) is the source of this 1031-nucleotide long non-coding RNA. RefSeq lists it as uncharacterized. NCBI's taxonomy places the organism in Eukaryota, Metazoa, Arthropoda, Insecta, Hymenoptera, Apidae. The transcript is spliced from 3 exons. The record is from RefSeq and is a predicted model, not a curated record.
CGAUCAUUUUGUUACUUUUGGCCUCAGGCCAAUAUUAUUCGCGGAACUAGUUGUGGUUAAGCAAAAUGUUGCCAUCAGAAAUGUUCAUCAACAUAUUUUUCAGGCGUUCGUCCAAAACCUUCUCCUCUCUGGAAUAUCGGGGAAAGAGAAAGACAAAACAAUUUAAUUUGUUCUUACCAGUUAUUACUAGUAACUUUCUUUACGAUUUAAAUUGGUAGUCAACAAGACGCAACGAAGUCAGAAUGAUUCUAAGCCACCACCUAAGAAUUAAUUUAUUCUAUGACCAUCUUUUCAAUAUCGCCAGUCGUUUCUCUGAGGAAUUAGCAUUCUAUGCGUAUGCAUGUAGUCGCAUGUGCGGCUUUGCAGCAGAGUCUUGUUCGCCUUUAGACAGAAACAUCAACGAUGCAGUAAAAUAGUAGUUGGUUAAAUAGUAAUUAAAGGCUGAUAUCAAAAUUUUUUUAUGUUAGAUCGAGAUUUUAGAUCAAUUUCAAGGAUGAACUUCCGUUUUCUGAUGAGCACCUGUUUCUUAGAUAAGAUAAUACUUAUCCGAAUCACGUGCAUCAUUAAGCAACUAAAGAUAUACCUAAUGUUUAACUGUAAUUCAUAUAUUAGCGGAUGACUGCAAUUAAUCGUUGUAUGAUCAACGCGAUAAAAAAGGUUCAAACAAGCUUGAUCCCUCGUUUGCUCUGCAUUUACUCAACUGUAUUUUCCUUUCCAUCAUAUUUGAAUUUUGUUUUCAGUUAGGUACACGGUAGCCAUUAAUUGAACAAAACAUAGAAGGAAUUUGAGAUAUAAAAAUCACUUAAGAGUACAAGAAAGAGGGGAAAAGAGAUCGAAGUCAUAAUAGUCAUCCACGAAUUGCGAAUGAAAAUUACACUUUCUCCGAUAGAAUUUAUCCUACCAAUGACGUCAAUCAGUGGAGAUAAACCAAAGAAGAUGAAAAAUAUAAUAAAUAAUUAUUUUUCAAUGUUAUUACUUUUUCAUAAUUAUCAUUAGCAAUAUGUAUAUAUAACACGAAAUACUAAUCAAAU